GGCGUGUCACAAGGACCUCCGCAACCUAGCAACCACCAGCACUCAACUGACACUACUAGGUUUCCUUAUAUGGCUUUUAAUCCAUGUUCAGCUUUUUACAAGUUCCUGUUGACUUCUUAAGGAGAUCUCUUUUCAAGGAUCCUGCCAUUUCAUCAAAAGCCUCAUAGUUUAUAAUGAGCAGGAAAGUGAAGAGUGCAUUUCAUCCAAAGUUUGACUCUUAAUGAACGCUACCCAUGUGCAACCAAUAAGCUUACCUUUGUUGUCCUCCAACUUUGGACCAGUUGCAACAUAUAGAUGGGCCUCUGCCA
This is a long non-coding RNA of Podarcis raffonei (Aeolian wall lizard), 308 nucleotides long. RefSeq lists it as uncharacterized. The record is from RefSeq and is a predicted model, not a curated record. The transcript has 3 exons. Lineage: Eukaryota; Metazoa; Chordata; Lepidosauria; Squamata; Lacertidae.